GAUGAACGCUGGCGGCGUGCCUAAUACAUGCAAGUCGAGCGAACAGACGAGGAGCUUGCUCCUCUGACGUUAGCGGCGGACGGGUGAGUAACACGUGGAUAACCUACCUAUAAGACUGGGAUAACUUCGGGAAACCGGAGCUAAUACCGGAUAAUAUAUUGAACCGCAUGGUUCAAUAGUGAAAGACGGUUUUGCUGUCACUUAUAGAUGGAUCCGCGCCGCAUUAGCUAGUUGGUAAGGUAACGGCUUACCAAGGCAACGAUGCGUAGCCGACCUGAGAGGGUGAUCGGCCACAAUGGAACUGAGACACGGUCCAGACUCCUACGGGAGGCAGCAGUAGGGAAUCUUCCGCAAUGGGCGAAAGCCUGGCGGAGCAACGCCGCGUGAGUGAUGAAGGUCUUCGGAUCGUAAAACUCUGUUAUUAGGGAAGAACAAAUGUGUAAGUAACUAUGCACGUCUUGAAGGUACCUAAUCAGAAAGCCACGGCUAACUACGUG
RNAcentral lists this ribosomal RNA (497 nucleotides) under uncultured bacterium. Its description in RNAcentral is "partial 16S ribosomal RNA". It matches the Rfam family "Bacterial small subunit ribosomal RNA", at positions 28 to 507 of the family's 1533-position model. The record is from RNAcentral.